AUGCCGCCGGGCUUCCGCUUACACCCCACGAACGACGAACUCGUCGUGCACUACCUCUGCAGGGAGGUGGCGGCCAGCCGCAGCCGUGCCCAUGAUCUGCCUGAACAUGCAGAGCAGGGAGUGGUACUUUUCCUGUUUGAACUAGCUUGUUUUUUGUACUUGUUCAACUAUCAAAAUGCAUGUAAAUUUGAACCUUUUGUUUUGCCCCUCCUGAAUGUGAAUUGUACGAAUACUAGCCUUUUUGUUCUGUUUUAUAGGUGUGGCAAAAAUGCUGAAUUGAUGGAACUUGCUACUGAAACUGAUCUGGAACAAAAAUGCUAA
Molecule: ribosomal RNA, 321 nt
Filed under: Triticum aestivum (bread wheat)
Lineage: Eukaryota; Viridiplantae; Streptophyta; Magnoliopsida; Poales; Poaceae
Description: partial small subunit ribosomal RNA
Source: RNAcentral